RNAcentral lists this long non-coding RNA (208 nucleotides) under Mytilus galloprovincialis (Mediterranean mussel). Lineage: Eukaryota; Metazoa; Mollusca; Bivalvia; Mytilida; Mytilidae. The record is from RNAcentral.
CCCUUUUUGGCCCCUUAUUCCUAAAAUGUUGGGACCAAAACUCCCAAAAUCAAUACCAACCUUCCUUUUGUGGUCAUAAACCUUGUGUUAAAAUUUCAUAGAUUUCCAUUCACUUUUACUAAAGUUAGAGUGCGAAAACUAAAAGUAUUCGGACGCAGGACGACGACGACGACGACGCCGACGCCAACGUGAUAGCAAUAUGCGACGA